RNAcentral lists this long non-coding RNA (224 nucleotides) under Castor canadensis (American beaver). Its description in RNAcentral is "lncRNA (ENSCCNG00000016033.1)". The record is from RNAcentral. Lineage: Eukaryota; Metazoa; Chordata; Mammalia; Rodentia; Castoridae.
GGAAGCCGGCCAUGGCGAAGUGGGCAUUAGGAACGCGGAGGUGGAAGGCUUGGCAAAGCUGAACGGACUGAGUGGAAUCGGAACCCAGGGCUCCAGAACAGGCCACAUCAGGGAAACAGAGAUGAGCACCUUUGACUCCUUUCUUCCAAGGCAUGCCUAAGGGAGGUUGGGCCUGCUAUGGACAAAAUUCAAAUGAGCUGCACAGUGCUGGGAAGGAACUGCAG